UAAAGUGGAUUAGCGGCGGACGGGUGAGUAACACGUGAGUAACCUGCCUUAGACAUUGGGAUAGCCUCGGGAAACCGGGAUUAAUACCAAAUAAAAUCAUAAUGACACAUGUCAUAACGAUCAAAACUCCGGUGGUUUAAGAUGGACUCGCGUCCCAUUAGCUAGUUGGUAGAGUAAAAGCCUACCAAGGCGACGAUGGGUAGCCGGCCUGAGAGGGUGAACGGCCACAUUGGAACUGAGAAACGGUCCAA
Molecule: ribosomal RNA, 251 nt
Filed under: uncultured Eubacteriales bacterium
Lineage: Bacteria; Bacillati; Bacillota; Clostridia; Eubacteriales
Description: uncultured Clostridiales bacterium partial 16S ribosomal RNA
Rfam family: Bacterial small subunit ribosomal RNA
Source: RNAcentral